AUUUUCAUAUGGCAAACUUGUUGAAAGAUAAGGACGCAAAGCAAUGGGUCUAAGGACGAAUUAACGUCUAUGAUGCCAAGCCGCCAAU
This 88-nucleotide non-coding RNA is filed under the name Anaerosporomusa subterranea. RNAcentral's name for it is "Anaerosporomusa subterraneum c-di-GMP sequence". It matches the Rfam family "c-di-GMP-I riboswitch aptamer". Rfam says of the family: GEMM was predicted in a large-scale screen for bacterial structured RNA regulatory elements. Genes associated with GEMM are involved in a diverse array of functions, including chemotaxis regulation, signal transduction, secretion and chitin. The record is from Rfam by way of RNAcentral. Lineage: Bacteria; Bacillati; Bacillota; Negativicutes; Acetonemataceae.